This 526-nucleotide small RNA is filed under the name Forsstroemia coronata. RNAcentral's name for it is "eukaryotic LSU rRNA". The stretch from base 87 to 240 matches the Rfam family "5.8S ribosomal RNA". The record is from RNAcentral. Lineage: Eukaryota; Viridiplantae; Streptophyta; Bryopsida; Hypnales; Leptodontaceae.
UCUGCUUGGCUUGCUUGGCUUGCUUGGCUUGCGAAUCGGAGGGGGUCGGGGCUGGUCACCUUGCGAGUUGAAACAUAACCGAAAACAACUCUCAGCAACGGAUAUCUUGGCUCUUGCAACGAUGAAGAACGCAGCGAAAUGCGAUACGUAGUUGUGAAUUGCAGAAUUCCGCGAAUCAUCGAGUUUUUGAACGCAAGUUGCGCCCGAGGCUUGUCCAAGGGCAUUUCCGCUAGAGCGUCACCGCGCCCCCCACCGAUCCGCUCCCACCGGGAGUCGCGUCGAGUGGAAGUGGCCAUCCCGGCGGAGCCCAAACCGGCCUCAAGCAAGGGUUGGCUGAAAUGGAGGGAAUCGGGCCGCCGUGGUGACACAGUCCGCGAUCGGGUGAUUUUCGGGCUCCUCCUCCUUUGGUGUGUGUGAGCCCGGGAUUUUUCUAAGUGCGAGGCUGCGUCGCCCAGUUGGUCGUGGGUUACCUCGUGCAGGUCGAGCGCGCCCCCGCGGCGCGCGUCACGCAUCAGACCUCUAAUCG